Molecule: ribosomal RNA, 370 nt
Filed under: uncultured organism
Description: bacterial SSU rRNA
Rfam family: Bacterial small subunit ribosomal RNA
Source: RNAcentral
CGUAGGGUGCGAGCGUUAAUCGGAAUUACUGGGCGUAAAGCGUGCGCAGGCGGUUUAGUAAGACAGGCGUGAAAUCCCCGGGCUCAACCUGGGAACUGCGCUUGUGACUGCUAAGCUAGAGUACGGCAGAGGGGGUGGAAUUCCACGUGUAGCAGUGAAAUGCGUAGAGAUGUGGAGGAACACCAAUGGCGAAGGCAGCCCCCUGGGUCGAUACUGACGCUCAUGCACGAAAGCGUGGGUAGCAAACAGGAUUAGAUACCCUGGUAGUCCACGCCCUAAACGAUGUCAACUAGGUGUUGGGAGGGUAAACCUUUUAGUACCGGAGCUAACGCGUGAAGUUGACCGCCUGGGGAGUACGGCCGCAAGGUUA